UUCCGGUUGAUCCUGCCGGACCCGACUGCUAUUUGGGUGAGAAUAAGCCAUGCGAGUUGAAUGGGAUACCUAAAGUUCCCAUAGCAAACUGCUCAGUAACACAUGAUUAACUUACCCUAUAGAGAAAAAUAACCUCGGGAAACUGAGGAUAAUGUUUCAUAAUUGAAUUGGCUUGGAAAAGUUUUUCAAUGAAAGGGAUAAAAAAAAUGGUUUUUAUCUGCUAUAGGAUAGGAUCGUGUUCGAUUAUGGUUGUUGGUGAGAUAAUGGCUCACCAAGCCGAUAAUCGAUAGGGGCCGUGAGAGCGGGAGCCCCGAGAUGGGUACUGAGACAACGACCCAGGCCUUACGAGGCGCAGCAGGCGCGGAACCUCCGCAAUACACGAAAGUGUGACGGGGUUACCCAAAGUGUUCAAUAGAACUGUAGUAGGUGAGUAAUGUCCCCUACUAGAAAGGAGAGGGCAAGGCUGGUGCCAGCCGCCGCGGUAAAACCAGCUCUUCAAGUGGUCGGGAUAAUUAUUGGGCUUAAAGUGUCCGUAGCCGGUUUAGUAAGUUCCUGGUAAAAUCGGGUAGCUUAACUAUCUGCAUGCUAGGAAUACCGCUAUACUAGAGGGCGGGAGAGGUCUGAGGUACUACAGGGGUAGGGGUGAAAUCUUAUAAUCCUUGUAGGACCACCAGUGGCGAAGGCGUCAGACUGGAACGCGCCUGACGGUGAGGGACGAAAGCCAGGGGAGCGAACCGGAUUAGAUACCCGGGUAGUCCUGGCCGUAAACGAUGCAUACUAGGUGAUGGUACGGCCAUGAGCCGUAUCAGUGCCGUAGGGAAACCGUUUAAGUGUGCCGCCUGGGAAGUACGGUCGCAAGGCUAAAACUUAAAGGAAUUGGCGGGGGAGCACCACAAGGGGUGAAGCCUGCGGUUUCAAUUGGAUUCAACGCCGGGUAAUCACUAUUGCGGCGCCUGCAGUCGACCAUAUGGGAGAGCUCCCACGCGUUGGAAUGCAUAGCUUGAGUAUUCUUACACUCGCCACCUAAUUAGUCUUGCCGUAAUCAUGGUCAUAGCUGUCUCCUUGGUCUGAAAUUGGUUAUCCGCCUCACACCUCCACACAACAUACGAACCGCGUAGAC
This 1120-nucleotide ribosomal RNA is filed under the name uncultured archaeon. RNAcentral describes it as "bacterial SSU rRNA". It matches the Rfam family "Archaeal small subunit ribosomal RNA", at positions 1 to 1142 of the family's 1478-position model. The record is from RNAcentral.